GUGGCCCCGGCGGAGCGCGCGCGCAGGCUGGGCAUCCUCUGGGGCGCGGGCGAUCGCUGCAGAUUAUUUAAACAGCCUCGGGAUACCUCACUGGUGCUGGAUGCCUUGUACAUGUAAACUUGGCAGCAUGAGAGCUACUCUGAAUAGGCGCAGGGCGUUACCAGGAAACAUCACUAAAUGACUCAGACUUCCUGAUGUUUUAAAUGUGUUGCCUACCUUUCAAGAUGCCUUUGUUCUUCUGACAAAUACAGCCAGUAACUCAUAAGGCCAUAAAAGAGGGAAAAUCGGAGGGGAAACCACUGGUGCCCAAAGAACAAGAUCGCCCUUAACAGAGGGAA
This 338-nucleotide long non-coding RNA is filed under the name Castor canadensis (American beaver). RNAcentral's name for it is "lncRNA (ENSCCNG00000000128.1)". Lineage: Eukaryota; Metazoa; Chordata; Mammalia; Rodentia; Castoridae. The record is from RNAcentral.